AACGGCCGUACCAUGCUGAAUAUACCGGUUCUCGUUAGAUCACCGAAGUCAAGCAUCAUUGGGCGCGGUCAGUACUUGGGUGGGUGACCCCCUGGGAACACCGCGUGCCGUU
RNAcentral lists this ribosomal RNA (112 nucleotides) under Caerostris darwini. The record is from RNAcentral. Lineage: Eukaryota; Metazoa; Arthropoda; Arachnida; Araneae; Araneidae.